This 377-nucleotide ribosomal RNA is filed under the name uncultured bacterium. RNAcentral's name for it is "bacterial SSU rRNA". It matches the Rfam family "Bacterial small subunit ribosomal RNA", at positions 521 to 896 of the family's 1533-position model. The record is from RNAcentral.
UAAUACAGAGGUCCCAAGCGUUGUUCGGAUUCACUGGGCGUAAAGGGUGCGUAGGUGGCGGGGUAAGUCUGAUGUGAAAUCUCCGAGCUUAACUCGGAAACUGCAUCGGAUACUGCUUUGCUCGAGGGUUGGAGGGGGGACUGGAAUACUUGGUGUAGCAGUGAAAUGCGUAGAUAUCAAGUGGAACACCAGUGGCGAAGGCGAGUCCCUGGACAACUCCUGACACUGAGGCACGAAAGCUAGGGGAGCAAACAGGAUUAGAUACCCUGGUAGUCCUAGCUGUAAACGGUGCACGUUUGCUGUAAGUGGAAUCGACCCCACUUGUGGCGUAGCCAACGCGAUAAACGUGCCGCCUGGGAAGUACGGUCGCAAGAUUA